CCCUUAGAUGUUCUGGGCUGCACGCGCGCUACACUGAAGCGUUCAACGAGUAUUCACCUUGCCCGGGAGGGUUGGGUAAUCUUUUGAAAACGCUUCGUGAUUGGGAUAGGCACUUGUAAUUAUUUGCCUUGAACGAGGAAUACCUAGUAAGUGCGAGUCAUCAGCUUGCGCUGACUACGUCCCUGCCCCUUGUACACACCGCCCGUCGCUGCCCGGAACUGAGCCGUUUCGAGAAAGCCGGGGACCGACGACUUGUGGGUGCGCAAGCACUUCUAGUCGAUGGAAACCAGUUUAAUCGGUAUGGCUUGAACCGGGCAAAAGUCGUAACA
RNAcentral lists this ribosomal RNA (329 nucleotides) under uncultured eukaryote. RNAcentral describes it as "partial 18S ribosomal RNA". It matches the Rfam family "Eukaryotic small subunit ribosomal RNA", at positions 1470 to 1796 of the family's 1831-position model. The record is from RNAcentral.